CCCUUAGAUGUCCUUGGCCGCACGCGCGCUACACUGACAUGUUCAACAAGUUUCUCCUAGUUCGACAGGACUGGGAAAUCUUUGAACGCAUGUCGUGAUAGGGAUAGAUCAUUGCAAUUAUUGAUCUUGAACGAGGAAUUCCUAGUAAACGCGAGUCAUCAGCUCGCAUUGAUUACGUCCCUGCCCUUUGUACACACCGCCCGUCGCACCUACCGAUUGAAUGUUUCGGUGAAGAUUCCGGAUAGGACUGAUUUGAUUUAUUUCAUUUCUGACCUAAAAGCUAUCUAAACCUCAACAUUUAGAGGAAGGUGAAGUCGUAACA
This 322-nucleotide ribosomal RNA is filed under the name uncultured eukaryote. Its description in RNAcentral is "partial 18S ribosomal RNA". It matches the Rfam family "Eukaryotic small subunit ribosomal RNA", at positions 1470 to 1796 of the family's 1831-position model. The record is from RNAcentral.